AUACGUAGGGGGCAAGCGUUAUCCGGAUUUACUGGGUGUAAAGGGAGCGUAGACGGAAUGGCAAGUCUGAUGUGAAAGGCCGGGGCUCAACCCCGGGACUGCAUUGGAAACUGUCAGGCUAGAGUGCAGGAGAGGUAAGUGGAAUUCCCAGUGUAGUGGUGAAAUGCGUAGAGAUUGGGAGGAACACCAGUGGCGAAGGCGACUUACUGGACUGUAACUGACGCUGAGGCGCGAAAGUGUGGGGAGCAAACAGGAUUAGAUACCCUGGUAGUCCACGCUGUAAACGAUGAAUACUAGGUGUAGGGGGUAUCAACUCCCUCUGUGCCGCAGCAAACGCAAUAAGUAUUCCGCCUGGGGAGUACGGCCGCAAGGUUGAAACUCAAAGGAAUUGACGGGG
RNAcentral lists this ribosomal RNA (397 nucleotides) under uncultured bacterium. Its description in RNAcentral is "partial 16S ribosomal RNA". It matches the Rfam family "Bacterial small subunit ribosomal RNA", at positions 523 to 918 of the family's 1533-position model. The record is from RNAcentral.